Molecule: unclassified non-coding RNA, 1776 nt
Organism: Stegodyphus dumicola
Lineage: Eukaryota; Metazoa; Arthropoda; Arachnida; Araneae; Eresidae
Source: RefSeq, a predicted model, not a curated record
GGAUCCAUCACCAGUGAAUCAUCUGUUUUCCGCUUAGUCAAUCCUAGCCAUUUUGAAAUUAUAAGGCUCUAAAAUGGAUUCACUCAGUGUCAAAAUGGAUAAUCUUGUACUAGAUUUAUCAGAUAAUGAUGAAAGUGAAGAAUUUUCUGAUGGUGAAGAUUAUGCACUUCCUACUGAAGAUGAUGCUGUUCAUUCUGAAAAAUCAAAUCUGCGCAAAGAAAAAGAUAGCACUUUUCAACCCAAUGACCAUGCUUACCAAAAAUUUGUUACUAAAAUAUCACUUGACAAAUAUGAAAAUUCUAGAUUACCUGAUAUGGCUGUCAAAUUAUUGAAUGAUGAUGCUAGGAAAAAAGAAUCGAUGAAAAUAAGAUUACGAGAUAAAAAUGAACGUGCCACUGUGGAGCAAGUUCUUGACCCAAGAACUCGAAUGAUUUUAUUUAAAAUGCUGAGCCGAGGGAUAAUUUCAGAAAUUCAUGGCUGCAUUAGCACUGGCAAGGAAGCUAAUGUGUAUUAUGCUUCUGCCAGUGAUAACAGUGAAAGAGCAGUGAAGGUCUAUAAAACUGCUAUAUUGACUUUCAAAGACAGAGAUAGGUAUGUUACUGGAGAUUAUAGAUUUCGAACUGGAUAUUGUCGUCGAAACUCCAGAAAAAUGGUGCAGACCUGGGCUGAAAAGGAGAUGAGAAACCUGUGGAGGAUUUAUUCUGCUGGAUUGCCUUGUCCUGCACCAGUUAUUUUAAAGAGCCACGUCUUGGUUAUGGAAUUUAUUGGUAAAGAUGGAUUGCCAGCACCAUUACUGAAGGAAGUUAAUUUGUCAGAAGGUAAAGCACGAGAAUUAUACUUGGACUGUAUAAUAAUGAUGAGAAAUUUAUUUCAGAAAUGCAAGUUAAUUCAUGCUGAUUUAAGUGAAUACAAUAUGUUAUACUUCAAUGGGAAAAUUAUUAUGAUUGAUGUAUCUCAAUCAGUUGAGUUAGAACAUCCUCGUGCAAUAGAAUUCUUGAGAAAAGAUUGUUUGAAUAUAACAGACUUUUUUAAAAAGCAAAAUGUUCCUGUUAUGACCGUACGUGAGUUAUUUGAUUUUAUCACUGAUUAUAACAUUAACGAUGAAAAUAUCGAUGAUUAUUUAGCCGAAGCUCAAAGAAAAGCCACCAGUAGGGCUUCAGAUUUAUGUGAAGAUGAAAAAGUUGAUGAAGAAGUCUUUAAACAAGCCUAUAUUCCUAAAAAUUUAAGCCAAGUGAUUGAUGUUGAAAAUGAUGUAUUUAAUGAAGAUCGAGAAAUAUUGUAUCAUUCAGUCACUGGUCUAAAGCCGAGCCUUACAGUUUCACGACUGCGAGAAACAAAUGAAAAAAGUCAUGACAAUAGUAGGGGAAGAGAUGAUGAAAAUGAUAAUGAAGAAAACGAUGAUGAUGAUGAUGAUGAUUCUUCCUGUUCAGAGAACUCAGUUAGUAAGAAAGAUAAAUCAAAGCAUUCAACAUUUUCCAGACCACGUGAUGAAUCGCCAAAUUCAAAAAAAGAAAGGAAAAAAGUACUUAAGGAUGCCAGGCGAGAAAAACAACAACACAAAGUGCCUAAACAUAUUAAAAAAAGGAAAGAAAAGGUUGGACGACAAAACAGGAAAUUAAAAUAGUAUUUUACUAUUUUAAUAAUAGUAGAAUGUAAUAAAAUAAAAAUAUUAAGAGAGCAGCUGAAGAGGCCGCAGGUCUGUGCAAAGUACGGAUUGGGAACUGCUGUUGUAAACUAUGUAAAAAUCUGUAAAUAAAAAUUAUAAUACAAAUUUUA